AUACGGAGGGUGCGAGCGUUAAUCGGAAUUACUGGGCGUAAAGGGUCCGUAGGCGGUCUGCUUAGUCUGAUGUGAAAGCCCCGGGCUUAACCUGGGAAUGGCAUUGGAUACUGGCGGACUAGAGUCUGGUAGAGGGUGGUGGAAUUCUCGGUGUAGCGGUGAAAUGCGUAGAUAUCGGGAGGAACACCAGUGGCGAAGGCGGCCACCUGGACCAAGACUGACGCUGAGGGACGAAAGCGUGGGGAGCAAACAGGAUUAGAUACCCUAGUAGUCC
RNAcentral lists this ribosomal RNA (274 nucleotides) under uncultured bacterium. RNAcentral describes it as "partial 16S ribosomal RNA". It matches the Rfam family "Bacterial small subunit ribosomal RNA", at positions 523 to 796 of the family's 1533-position model. The record is from RNAcentral.